UACGUAGGGGGCUAGCGUUGUCCGGAAUCAUUGGGCGUAAAGAGCGUGUAGGCGGCCCGGUAAGUCCGCUGUGAAAGUCGGGGGCUCAACCCUCGAAUGCCGGUGGAUACUGUCGGGCUAGAGUGCGGAAGAGGCGAGUGGAAUUCCUGGUGUAGCGGUGAAAUGCGCAGAUAUCAGGAGGAACACCAAUUGCGAAGGCAGCUCGCUGGAACGUAACUGACGCUGAGACGCGAAAGCGUGGGGAGCAAACAGG
Molecule: ribosomal RNA, 253 nt
Filed under: uncultured bacterium
Lineage: Bacteria
Description: partial 16S ribosomal RNA
Rfam family: Bacterial small subunit ribosomal RNA
Source: RNAcentral